AGAGUUUGAUCCUGGCUCAGAUUGAACGCUGGCGGCAUGCCUUACACAUGCAAGUCGGACGGCAGCGCGGGGGCAACCCUGGCGGCGAGUGGCGAACGGGUGAGUAAUACAUCGGAACGUGUCCUGGAGUGGGGGAUAGCCCGGCGAAAGCCGGAUUAAUACCGCAUACGCUCUGAGGAGGAAAGCGGGGGAUCUUCGGACCUCGCGCUCAAGGGGCGGCCGAUGGCAGAUUAGCUAGUUGGUGGGGUAAAGGCCUACCAAGGCGACGAUCUGUAGCUGGUCUGAGAGGACGACCAGCCACACUGGGACUGAGACACGGCCCAGACUCCUACGGGAGGCAGCAGUGGGGAAUUUUGGACAAUGGGGGCAACCCUGAUCCAGCAAUGCCGCGUGUGUGAAGAAGGCCUUCGGGUUGUAAAGCACUUUUGUCCGGAAAGAAAACUUCGUCCCUAAUACGGAUGGAGGAUGACGGUACCGGAAGAAUAAGCACCGGCUAACUACGUGCCAGCAGCCGCGGUAAUACGUAGGG
RNAcentral lists this ribosomal RNA (529 nucleotides) under uncultured soil bacterium. Its description in RNAcentral is "bacterial SSU rRNA". It matches the Rfam family "Bacterial small subunit ribosomal RNA", at positions 8 to 532 of the family's 1533-position model. The record is from RNAcentral.